Felis catus (domestic cat) is the source of this 322-nucleotide non-coding RNA. It matches the Rfam family "7SK RNA". From Rfam's summary of the family: 7SK was discovered as an abundant small nuclear RNA in the mid-70s but a possible function has only recently been suggested. Two independent studies have found that 7SK RNA binds the CDK9/cyclin T complex (known as elongation factor P-TEFb). The record is from Rfam. NCBI's taxonomy places the organism in Eukaryota, Metazoa, Chordata, Mammalia, Carnivora, Felidae.
GGAUGUGAAGGCGAUCUGGCUGUGACAUCUGUCACCCCAUUGAUCGCCAGGGUUGAUUCGACUGAUCUGGCUGGCUAGGCGGGUGUCCCCUUCCUCCCUCACCGUUCCAUGUGCGUCCCUCCGGAAGCUGUGUGCUCUGUCGAAGAGGACCACCUUCCCCAAUAGAGGAGGAUCAUUCUUCGGUCAAGGGUAUACAAGUAGCUGCGCUCCCCUGCUAGAACCUCCAAACAAGCUCUUAAGACAGUUGUAUGGAGAUUAGAUAGGAUAAGAACAAGAAUGGAAGCAGGAAGACCACUCAGGGAACCAGCACAGUCCCCCAGGG